UGGAGCUUUAAACCCAAUUAUAUUCCUAGCCACUAUAACCAUUCAAUCUCUUAGGCCCUAUAUACUUGGUUUUAGGUUGGGGCGACCACGGAGUAAAACCAAACCUCCAUGAUGUACGGAACAACCUCCUCAUCUAAGAGCUACAGCUCUAAGAAUUAGCACACUAUCAUAAAAUGACCCAUUAUUGAUCAACGAACCAAGUUACCCUGGGGAUAACAGCGCAAUCCAUUUUAAGAGCCCCUAUCGACAAAU
This 252-nucleotide ribosomal RNA is filed under the name Mantidactylus femoralis. Its description in RNAcentral is "partial 16S ribosomal RNA". Lineage: Eukaryota; Metazoa; Chordata; Amphibia; Anura; Mantellidae. The record is from RNAcentral.